This is an RNA transcript of Lotus japonicus, 1917 nucleotides long. It is a transcript of the gene named polynucleotide 5'-hydroxyl-kinase NOL9-like, with no coding region annotated. The transcript has 10 exons. The record is from RefSeq and is a predicted model, not a curated record. NCBI's taxonomy places the organism in Eukaryota, Viridiplantae, Streptophyta, Magnoliopsida, Fabales, Fabaceae.
UGAGACUAAAAAAUAACGAAACAGAAACGACGUUCCUUCCACCUCCGCGCGCCGCCAAUCUCUUCCCACCAUCGCGCCCCGCCACUUCUCUCCGUUCGUCGCUGCGCUCCGGCUGUCGUCGUCAACGCUGCCGCUCCGUUUUUCUGCGGUAAUACCGGUUGGACCUCGGAGCAACUACAGUUGAACCAGUGAACCUUAAACUAAUAUCCUCCGGUUUGAUCAUAGGUCCAGUUCUAAUAACCUUGGUUUUUUUAUUAGUUCAACCUGGGCAAAAAACAUAAGACACAAUUCUUUUUAAGCCUGGUCCAUCCCUCAACCAAAAACCAAAAAAAUACGUAGCCCAUCUCUCUUUUCACUCACCUCCUUCCUCUUUCACGAUCAGAACUAGCCGCACAACACCCUCUGUUUUGAUCUUCUCCUUCCGUCCUUAAUCGCCGGCCGCCGCCGUCACGCCGUUUGGCUGACAGCUCUCACGCCGACCGCAGCGGUGCAGCCCCGGCGGCACGCCCACAGAGCCACGCCCACACGCACCGCACCCACCACAGUCCACAGGCCCACACAGCCCUGGCUUGAUUUUGCAGUUUCAUAGAGAUAGAGAGACAGAGAUGGGUUCCUCCCCUUCACCAGACAUAUACAUCCCAGAGCAGUGGUCAGAGGCUGCAGGGUCCAUUGCAGACAGUUCAACGCCUCCUAUUACUCUCAUAUGUGGGGCCAAGAACUGUGGGAAGACAAUCUUCUCCCGCUAUCUCCUAAACGUCCUCUUGCACAGAUAUAGCAGAGUCGCUUAUCUGGAUACUGAUGUAGGCCAACCUGAGUUCACUGCUCCUGCUUUUCUAUCACUUACCAUUGUCCACCAAGAAACUCCUGAUAUAACCAUUCCGUGCCUGAAAACACCAGAGAGGUGCCUUUUCUUUGGUGAUGUUUCUUCAAAGAGAGAUCCAACGUCAUACUUAAAUUAUGUAUUUGCGAUAUAUGAUUAUUAUCGAAAGGAGUAUUGCUCCCUUGAUAAGGAAGAAAAUUCUCCUAUGAUUGACUUGCCUCUUAUUGUGAAUACUCCUGGAUGGGUGAAAGGUGUUGGUUAUUCUGUAUUAGUGGACAUGUUGAAAUAUAUUUGUCCAACACAUGUGGUUAAGAUAAGCAUCUCCAGUGAAAAUAAGAAUUUACCUGCUGGACAGUUCUGGUUAGAUGGGGAACAUAAUGGAACAAUCAACUUAAUUGAGAUAAAUUCAGCUCGUCAGGACUCACUAAAUAGAUCGGUGCUUGUUCAGAAGGAUGCACGUCUCCUGCGUGAUUUACGAAUAAUGGCAUAUUUCAGACAGUGCUUUCCCAGUGAUUCAGAUAUUUCUACAAUCAAGGAACUUGCACAUUCGUUGGCCUCCCACUGUCCUUAUGAAGUUCCCAUUGCAAGCAUAAAGAUUCAACAUCUUCAUCGUGAGGUCCCAAGCUCUGAGAUGUUCUACAGUUUGAAUGCUAGCAUUGUUGGUUUAGCAGUUGAUUCUGAAGGACCUGAAAAUUUACCUUGGUGUCUUGGUCUUGGUAGGGAUUGUGAGGGGUAUUGACACAAUCAAAGGUGUGCUCUAUGUGAUUACACCUGUGCCACAUAGUUCUCUGGAUAAAGUCAACCUCUUGCUACAAGGUUAUAUCCAAAUUCCCAUUUGUUUAUUGCAGGUCCAGGGAUGCAUAUCGCCUUACAUGUCAGCAGAUGUAUUGACUACAAGUUAGUAAUUUUCUCGAGGUAGCAAAGAGGACCAUUGUCGUAACUUGGUAAUAACCAAUUAUUAUACAUUCUUCCUUUCUCAUGGAAGCACAUAGAGUAUAACUUACGUAUGCCUGAGUUAAGAAAAUCCAACCAAUUUUGUAGGAAAAAAGAGGAUGUAAAAUUGUUUCUCUAAUUAAAUUCGUUUGACUUAUGUGUUA